Long non-coding RNA from Cynocephalus volans (Philippine flying lemur), 407 nucleotides. RefSeq lists it as uncharacterized. The transcript has 2 exons. Lineage: Eukaryota; Metazoa; Chordata; Mammalia; Dermoptera; Cynocephalidae. The record is from RefSeq and is a predicted model, not a curated record.
GGGUCCUGCCGGUGACCUCAGCCUUCCCGUAUGUGCAGCUUGGGCAUCUUGGCAGUGCGUGGGUGACUCGGCCACUUAAGAAGUGUCUUUGCAUAUGUAAUUAAGCUAGGAAGGAGAUGAGAUCAUCUUGGAUUACCCAGCUGUGUACUAAAUCCAGUGACAAAUGUCCUUAUAAGAGACAGAAAAAGAAAAGAUACGCCAAGGAAAAGGCAAUGUGAAGAUGGAGGCAGAGACUGGAGUGUUGUGCCCACAAGCCAAGGAAGCUGGCAACUAUCAGAAGCUGGAAGAGGCAAAGAACAGAUUCUCCCCUACAUUCCCUUUAGGACGCUUGGCCCUGCCAACACUUUGAUUUUGGACUUCUGGCCUCCAGACUAAGAGAAUAAAUUUCCGUGUUUUAAGACACUAAA